RNAcentral lists this small RNA (124 nucleotides) under Marmota monax (woodchuck). Lineage: Eukaryota; Metazoa; Chordata; Mammalia; Rodentia; Sciuridae. The record is from RNAcentral.
GCUGGGCACAGUGGUGCAUGCCUGUAAUCCCAGAGGCUUGGGAGGCUGAGGCAGGAGGAUCGCAAGUUCAAAGCCAGCCUCAGCAAAAAUGAGGUGCUAAGCAACUCCGUGAGACCCUGUAUCU